CCCGCCGCGCCCGGGUGCCGCUUGCCGCACCCCCGAGCCUGAGCCCGUCUACCUCGUGGCUGCCUGAGGCCCGGAUCUAGGCUGGCUGGGGCGGUGGCUCAUGCCUGUAAUCCCAGCACUUUGAGAGGCCGAGACCGGUGGAUCACGAGAUCAUCAGGAGAUGAGACCAUCCUGGCUAACAUGUUAGCCUGGCCUCCAGAGCUCUUGGACUGCAGCACCCAUAAUGAUGGCCAAAGCCGCCCCCACGGCGACUCCUCCUGCUGAAGCAAAGUCAGGCAGAACAAUAAGAUGAGCAUGGUGGUGCAGGCCUGUAAUCUCAGCUCCUCAGGCGGGAGGAUCACUUGAUCCCCGGAAGUUUGAAGCUGGACUGCGCUGACCGCACCUGUGAAUACCACUGCCCGUCAAUCAGCCUAGGGGAAACAUUCUCGAGUGCGAGCAUGACGGCUUAGGUUGAUGUUUUUCAAAUUUUCCCAAUGAUGAGUAUUGUAAGGGACCAAAAUAAAAAAAUGCCAAUGCCUAGUCCCCUCUCAUCUAGAAUAAUUCCAUAGGUGAUGAUGGGGUCCAGGACUCUGAAUUUCGUCAAUUUUACCAAAUACUUCGUCCAGUGAGGCAAAUAUGGAAACACUUGGAUCACCUCUUCGUGAACGCACAUCAGCGCAUACGCCGGCUGUUUUUAUCAGGCGCUCACCCCUCAUCCAAUGGCGUGACUAGUUGUGGGUGGAGCCCGAAAUCUGGCUGCCUAGAGAAGGCUGAAGGUCCAGUUAUAGCAUAACUAAUGUUUCCCCAGAGCUCACAUACGUGCCAAGCACCGUGCUACAGCCUCCACAGCCCCUUCAUUUAAUCUUCCCGAUGGGCCUAUGAAAUAGGUGCUCCUGGCCCGCACCGUGGCUCAUGCCUCUAAUCCCAGCACUUUGGGAAGCUGAGGAGGGAGGGUCGCUUGAGUCCAGGAUUUCAAGACCAGCCUGGGAAACACACAGAGAGCCUAUCUCUACGAAAAUUUAAAAAAUUAGCCGGGUGUGGUGAUGCCUGACUGUGGUCCCACCUACUUAGUAGGCUAAGGUGGGAGGAUCCUCUGAGCCCGGGAAGCUGAGGCUGCAGUUAGCACUGCACUCCAGCAUGGGCGACAGAGUGAGACCCUGACUCAAAAAAAAAAAAAAAAAAGAAUAGGUGCUACUUGUAGUUCCCAUUUUACCCACCAAGAAACUGAAGAUCUGAGAGACAAAGCCUACAGGGUGACCGCUAGUCACUGGUAGGGCUGGGAUUUGAACAGGGGCGGUUUAACAACUGAUCUCUCGACCAUAAUGCGUGUUGCCCAAGAAAAAAGACCGUCCUCACGGUCCUAUCCACUCCGGACUUUGCAAUUCCGUUAUUUCGUAAAUUGAGGCCUAUAAAUAGUUUGCUUACCCGUUGUCUUAGUCCCCAGUAACAUGCAGAACUAAAGAAGAAACUGAAGGAGCACCGAUUUUGUUCACCUUGCUUUUUGGUUUAGUUCUGGAGGAGAACACAGGUGCACUUAGAACAGGAUCCACACUUACCAGAGGCUUGAUUCAUUUUAGCUGCAAAGAAAACCAGUCCUCGUCUAC
Molecule: long non-coding RNA, 1583 nt
Filed under: Homo sapiens (human)
Lineage: Eukaryota; Metazoa; Chordata; Mammalia; Primates; Hominidae
Description: HSALNT0235492
Source: RNAcentral